AACGAACGCUGGCGGCACGUUUUAAGCAUGCAAGUCGAACGGUAGUCCCGCUUUCGGGUGGGAUGAGAGUGGCGGACGGGUGAGUAACACGUAGGUUAUCUGUCUUAUGGUUGGGGGAUAGCCCAUGGAAACAUGGGGUAAUACCGCAUGAGGUCCUGUAUUUUAAGGAUGCGGGAUGAAAGGCGCGUUAUGUGCCGACUGAGGAUGAGCCUGCGGUCCAUUAGCUUGUUGGUAGGGUAAAGGCCUACCAAGGCGACGAUGGAUAGCCGACCUGAGAGGGUGGACGGCCACACUGGGACUGAGACACGGCCCAGACUCCUACGGGAGGCAGCAGCUAAGAAUCUUCCGCAAUGGGCGAAAGCCUGACGGAGCGAUGCCGCGUGAACGAUGAAGGCAGGAAUGUUGUAAAGUUCUUUUCUUGGUGAGGAAUAAGGUUAAGAGUGGACUGCUUGACUGAUGACGUUAACCAAGGAAUAAGCCCCGGCCAAUUACGUGCCAGCAGCCGCGGUAACACGUAAGGGGCGAGCGUUGUUCGGAAUUAUUGGGCGUAAAGGGCGUGUAGGCGGAUAUAUAAGCCUGGUGUAAAAGGCUUCGGCUCAACCGGAGUUAGGCGCUGGGAACUGUAUGUCUAGAGUACAGGAGGGGGAGUUGGAAUUCCUGGUGUAGGGGUGAAAUCUGUAGAUAUCAGGAAGAACACCGGUGGCGAAGGCGAACUUCUGGCCUGUUACUGACGCUGAGGCGCGAAAGCGUGGGGAGCGAACAGGAUUAGAUACCCUGGUAGUCCACGCUGUAAACGAUGUGCACUGGGUGUUGGUUCUAUGAAGGAUCAGUGCCGUAGCUAACGCGAUAAGUGCACCGCCUGGGGAGUAUGCUCGCAAGGGUG
RNAcentral lists this ribosomal RNA (883 nucleotides) under uncultured Spirochaetota bacterium. RNAcentral's name for it is "bacterial SSU rRNA". It matches the Rfam family "Bacterial small subunit ribosomal RNA", at positions 28 to 896 of the family's 1533-position model. The record is from RNAcentral. Lineage: Bacteria; Pseudomonadati; Spirochaetota.